AGUGAACGCUGGCGGUAGGCCUAACACAUGCAAGUCGAACGGCAGCACAGUAAGAGCUUGCCCUUACGGGUGGCGAGUGGCGGACGGGUGAGGCAUACAUCGGAAUCCACUUUUUCUUGGGGGAUAACGUAGGGCAACUUCUGCUAAUACCGCAUACUAUCUACGGGUGAAAUCAAGGGAUCUUCGGACCUUGCCUGACUGAAUUAGCCGAUGUCGGAUUAGCUAGUUGGCAGGGUAAAGGCCCACCAAGGCGACGCUCCGUAGCUGGUCUGAGAGGAUGAUCAGCCACACUGGAACUGAGACACGGUCCAGACUCCUACGGGAGGCAGCAGUGGGGAAUAUUCGACAAUGGGCGCAAGCCUGAUCCAGCCAUGCCGCGUGAGUGAAGAAGGCCUUCGGAUUGUAAAACCCUUUUGUUAGGAAAGAAAAGCAGCAGGAUAAUCCCCCGCUGUUCUGACGGUACCCAAAGAGUAAGCACCGGCUAACUUCGUG
RNAcentral lists this ribosomal RNA (492 nucleotides) under uncultured bacterium. RNAcentral's name for it is "partial 16S ribosomal RNA". It matches the Rfam family "Bacterial small subunit ribosomal RNA", at positions 29 to 507 of the family's 1533-position model. The record is from RNAcentral.